This 460-nucleotide ribosomal RNA is filed under the name uncultured bacterium. RNAcentral's name for it is "partial 16S ribosomal RNA". It matches the Rfam family "Bacterial small subunit ribosomal RNA", at positions 338 to 795 of the family's 1533-position model. The record is from RNAcentral.
CCUACGGGGGACAGCAGUGAGGAAUAUUGGUCAAUGGGCGAGAGCCUGAACCAGCCAAGUCGCGUGAGGGAAGACGGUCCUAUGGAUUGUAAACCUCUUUUGUCGGGGAGCAAAAAGGCCUCGUGAGGCCACAAGUGAGAGUACCCGAAGAAAAAGCAUCGGCUAACUCCGUGCCAGCAGCCGCGGUAAUACGGAGGAUGCGAGCGUUAUCCGGAUUUAUUGGGUUUAAAGGGUGCGUAGGCGGACUGGAAAGUCAGCGGUAAAAUCGAGAGGCUCAACCUCUUUCCGCCGUUGAAACUGUCGGUCUUGAGAUGUCGAGAGGUAUGCGGAAUGCGCAGUGUAGCGGUGAAAUGCUUAGAUAUUGCGCAGAACUCCGAUUGCGAAGGCAGCAUACCGGCGGCGAUCUGACGCUGAGGCACGAAAGCGUGGGUAUCGAACAGGAUUAGAUACCCUAGUAGUC